CCCGGGGAACUGAAACAUCUAAGUACCCGGAGGAGAAGAAAGCAAAAGCGAUUCCCUGAGUAGCGGCGAGCGAAACGGGAACAGCCCAAACCAAGAGGCUUGCCUCUUGGGGUUGUAGGACACUCAAUACGGAGUGACAAAGGAACGGAGUAGAUGAAGCGGUCUGGAAAGGCCCGCCAGAGGAGGUAACAGCCCUGUAGUCGAAACUUCGUUCCCUCCUGAGUGGAUCCUGAGUACGGCGGGACACGAGGAAUCCCGUCGGAAGCAGGGAGGACCAUCUCCCAAGGCUAAAUACUCCCUAGUGACCGAUAGUGAACCAGUACCGUGAGGGAAAGGUGAAAAGCACCCCGGGAGGGGAGUGAAAGAGAACCUGAAACCGUGUGCCUACAAGUAGUCAGAGCCCGUUUAUGGGUGAUGGCGUGCCUUUUGUAGAAUGAACCGGCGAGUUACGAUCUCGUGCGAGGUUAAGUCGAAAAGACGGAGCCGUAGCGAAAGCGAGUCUGAAUAGGGCGUAUAGUACGAGGUCGUAGACCCGAAACCAGGUGAUCUACCCAUGUCCAGGGUGAAGGUAGGGUAAUACCUACUGGAGGCCCGAACCCACGCACGUUGAAAAGUGCGGGGAUGAGGUGUGGGUAGGGGUGAAAUGCCAAUCGAACUUGGAGAUAGCUGGUUCUCCCCGAAAUAGCUUUAGGGCUAGCCUCGAGUGAAGAGUCUUGGAGGUAGAGCACUGAUUGGGCUAGGGGCCCUCAUCGGGUUACCGAACUCAGUCAAACUCCGAAUGCCAAUGACUUAUACUCGGGAGUCAGACUACGAGUGAUAAGAUCCGUGGUCAAGAGGGAAACAGCCCAGAUCACCAGCUAAGGUCCCAAAGUAUACGUUAAGUGGAAAAGGAUGUGGAGUUGCUUAGACAACCAGGAUGUUGGCUUAGAAGCAGCCACCAUUUAAAGAGUGCGUAAUAGCUCACUGGUCGAGUGACUCUGCGCCGAAAAUGUACCGGGGCUAAACGUAUCACCGAAGCUGUGGGACGACUUGCGUCGUCGGUAGGGGAGCGUUCUAAGGGCGUCGAAGCUAGACCGGAAGGACUAGUGGAGCGCUUAGAAGUGAGAAUGCCGGUGUGAGUAGCGAAAACAGAGGUGAGAAUCCUCUGCACCGAAAGCCUAAGGUUUCCUGAGGAAGGCUCGUCCGCUCAGGGUUAGUCGGGACCUAAGCCGAGGCCGAAAGGCGUAGGCGAUGGACAACAGGUUGAUAUUCCUGUACCACCUCCUCACCGUUUGAGCAAUGGGGGGACGCAGGAGGAUAGGGUCAGCGCGCGACUGGUUGUGCGCGUCCAAGCAGUUAGGCGCCUCAAGUAGGCAAAUCCGCUUGAGUAGGCUGAGCUGUGAUGGCGAGGGAAAUCAAGUACCGAAGUGCCUGAUUCCACACUGCCAAGAAAAGCCUCUAGCGAGGUGAGAGGUGCCCGUACCGCAAACCGACACAGGUAGGCGAGGAGAGAAUCCUAAGGUGCGCGGGAGAACUCUCGUUAAGGAACUCGGCAAAAUGACCCCGUAACUUCGGGAGAAGGGGUGCUCCCUCGGGUGAAUAGCCCAGGGGAGCCGCAGUGAAAAGGCCCAAGCGACUGUUUAUCAAAAACACAGGUCUCUGCGAAGCCGUAAGGCGAAGUAUAGGGGCUGACACCUGCCCGGUGCUGGAAGGUUAAGGGGAGCGCUUAGCGCAAGCGAAGGUGCGAACCGAAGCCCCAGUAAACGGCGGCCGUAACUAUAACGGUCCUAAGGUAGCGAAAUUCCUUGUCGGGUAAGUUCCGACCCGCACGAAAGGUGUAACGACUUGGGCACUGUCUCAACGAGAGACCCGGUGAAAUCAUAGUACCUGUGAAGAUGCAGGUUACCCGCGACAGGACGGAAAGACCCCGUGGAGCUUUACUGCAGCCUGAUAUUGAAUGUUGGUGCGACAUGUACAGCAUAGGUGGGAGACUGAGAAGCCUGGACGCCAGUCUAGGUGGAG
This 2001-nucleotide ribosomal RNA is filed under the name Anoxybacillus ayderensis. Its description in RNAcentral is "bacterial LSU rRNA". It matches the Rfam family "Bacterial large subunit ribosomal RNA", at positions 184 to 2185 of the family's 2925-position model. Lineage: Bacteria; Bacillati; Bacillota; Bacilli; Caryophanales; Anoxybacillaceae. The record is from RNAcentral.